AUUGAACGCUGGCGGCAUGCUUUACACAUGCAAGUCGAACGGUAACAGGCCUUCGGGUGCUGACGAGUGGCGAACGGGUGAGUAAUGCAUCGGAACGUACCCAGAGGUGGGGGAUAACGCAGCGAAAGCUGUGCUAAUACCGCAUGUGAUCUGAGGAUGAAAGCGGGGGACCGAGCAGCAAUGUUUGGCCUCGCGCCUUUGGAGCGGCCGAUGUCGGAUUAGCUAGUUGGUGGGGUAAAGGCCUACCAAGGCGACGAUCCGUAGCUGGUCUGAGAGGACGACCAGCCACACUGGAACUGAGACACGGCCCAGACUCCUACGGGAGGCAGCAGUGGGGAAUUUUGGACAAUGGGCGAAAGCCUGAUCCAGCAAUGCCGCGUGAGGGAAGAAGGCCUUCGGGUUGUAAACCGCUUUUGGCAGGAACGAAACGGUGUCCGCUAAUACCGGGCGCUAAUGACGGUACCUGCAGAAUAAGCACCGGCUAACUACGUG
RNAcentral lists this ribosomal RNA (492 nucleotides) under uncultured bacterium. Its description in RNAcentral is "partial 16S ribosomal RNA". It matches the Rfam family "Bacterial small subunit ribosomal RNA", at positions 29 to 507 of the family's 1533-position model. The record is from RNAcentral.